This 468-nucleotide ribosomal RNA is filed under the name uncultured bacterium. RNAcentral describes it as "partial 16S ribosomal RNA". It matches the Rfam family "Bacterial small subunit ribosomal RNA", at positions 28 to 507 of the family's 1533-position model. The record is from RNAcentral.
GACGAACGCUGGCGGCGUGCUUAACACAUGCAAGUCGAACGGAAAGGCCCUGCUUUUGUGGGGUGCUCGAGUGGCGAACGGGUGAGUAACACGUGAGUAACCUGCCCUUGACUUUGGGAUAACUUCAGGAAACUGGGGGUAAUACCGGAUAGGAGCUCCUGCUGCAUGGGGGGGGUUGGAAAGUUUCGGCGGUUGGGGAUGGACUCGCGGCUUAUCAGCUUGUUGGUGGGGUGGUGGCUUACCAAGGCUUUGACGGGUAGCCGGCCUGAGAGGGUGACCGGCCACAUUGGGACUGAGAUACGGCCCAGACUCCUACGGGAGGCAGCAGUGGGGAAUAUUGCACAAUGGGCGGAAGCCUGAUGCAGCAACGCCGCGUGCGGGAUGACGGCCUUCGGGUUGUAAACCGCUUUCGCCUGUGACGAAGCGUGAGUGACGGUAAUGGGUAAAGAAGCACCGGCUAACUACGUG